AGAGUGAACGCUGGCGGCAUGCCUAACACAUGCAAGUCGAACGGUAACAGGCCCGCAAGGGUGCUGACGAGUGGCGGACGGGUGAGGAAUACAUAGGAAUCUGCCCUAUCGUGGGGGAUAACGUAGGGAAACUUACGCUAAUACCGCAUACGACCGAGAGGUGAAAGCGGGGGACCGCAAGGCCUCGCGCGAUGGGAUGAGCCUAUGUCGGAUUAGCUAGUUGGCGGGGUAAGAGCCCACCAAGGCGACGAUCCGUAGCUGGUCUGAGAGGAUGAUCAGCCACACUGGGACUGAGACACGGCCCAGACUCCUACGGGAGGCAGCAGUGGGGAAUAUUGGACAAUGGGGGCAACCCUGAUCCAGCAAUGCCGCGUGUGUGAUGAAGGCCUUAGGGUUGUAAAGUCCGUUUUAACGGGGAAGAUAAUGACGGUACCCGUAGAAUAAGCCCCGGCUAACUUCGUGCCAGCAGCCG
RNAcentral lists this ribosomal RNA (472 nucleotides) under uncultured bacterium. RNAcentral's name for it is "SSU rRNA". It matches the Rfam family "Bacterial small subunit ribosomal RNA", at positions 26 to 517 of the family's 1533-position model. The record is from RNAcentral.